UCAAGUUAUUAAGGGUGCAGGGCGGAUGCCUUGGCACUAGGAGCCGAUGAAGGACGUGAUAAGCUGCGAUAAGCUUCGGGGAGUUGCACGUAAACUUUGAUCCGAAGAUUUCCGAAUGAGGAAACUCACUUAGAGUAAUGUCUAAGUAUCAUUAAGUGAAUACAUAGCUUAAUGAGGGGAACUCAGGGAACUGAAACAUCUAAGUACCUGAAGGAAGAGAAAGAAAUUCGAUUCCGUAAGUAGCGGCGAGCGAACGCGGAUUAGCCCAAACCAAUAAAGUUUUCUUUAUUGGGGUUGCGGACAUAUCAUAACGAAGAGGUAUCGUAAUUGAAGAGGUUUGGAAAGACCCACCACAGAAGGUAAUAGUCCUGUAUGUUAAACGAGAAGACUUCAGAUAUGAUCCAGAGUACCACGGGACACGUGAAACCCUGUGGGAAGCAGGAGGGACCACCCUCCAAGGCUAAAUACUACCUAGUGACCGAUAGCGUAUAGUACCGUGAGGGAAAGGUGAAAAGAACCCCGGGAGGGGAGUGAAAUAGAACCUGAAACCCUGCACUUACAAGCUGUGGAAGCACAUUUCUUGUGUGACCGCGUACUUUUUGUAGAACGGGCCAACGAGUUACGUUAAGUAGCAAGGUUAAGCACUUAAGGUGUGGAGCCGUAGCGAAAGCGAGUUUUAACUGAGCGUUCAGUUACUUGACGUAGACCCGAAACCGGGCGACCUACCCAUGAGCAGGAUGAAGCGAAAGUAAAAUUUCGUGGAGGUCCGAACCCACGAGCGUUGAAAAGCUCGGGGAUGACUUGUGGGUAGCGGUGAAAUUCCAAUCGAGCCCGGAGAUAGCUGGUUCUCCCCGAAAUAGCUUUAGGGCUAGCCUCAAGGUGAGAGAUACGGAGGUAGAGCACUGAAUGUCCUAGGGGGUAUUGCACCUACCGAAGACUAUCAAACUCCGAAUGCCGUCAUCUUAUACUUGGGAGUCAGACUGUGGGUGAUAAGAUUCAUAGUCGAAAGGGCAACAGCCCAGAUCGUCAGCUAAGGUCCCUAAAUGUAAGUUAAGUGGUAAAGGAUGUGGGAUUGCACAGACAACCAGGAUGUUGGCUUAGAAGCAGCCACUCAUUCAAAGAGUGCGUAAUAGCUCACUGGUCGAGUGAUCCUGCGCCGAAGAUUUCCGGGGCUAAAACUUACUACCGAAGCUACGGCAUCAGUAAUGAUGGGUAGGGGAGCUUCCCAUACGGGUUGAAGCAUGACCGUAAGGACAUGUGGACAGUAUGGGAGUGAGAAUGUUGGCAUGAGUAGCGAGAUGUGGGUGAGAAUCCCACAGGCCGUAAACCCAAGGUUUCCAGGGGAAGGUUCGUCCGCCCUGGGUUAGUCGGGACCUAAGCUGAGGCCGAAAGGCGUAGGUGAUGGACAACAGGUUGAUAUUCCUGUACUACCGAUAACCGUUUGAGAGAAGGGAUGACACAGUAGGAUAAGCUAAGCACACUGUUGGUUAUGUGUGCCCAAGCAUUGAGGCAGUCAAAGUAGGCAAAUCCGCUUUGAUAAUGCUGGGAUGUGAUGGGGAGCGAAAUUUAGUAGCGAAGUAGCUGAUUUCACACUGUCAAGAAAAGUCUCUAUCGAGGUUAAAGGUACCCGUACCGCAAACCGACACAGGUGGGUGAGGAGAGUAUCCUAAGGCCAGCGAGAGAACUGUUGUUAAGGAACUCGGCAAAAUGACCCCGUAACUUAGGGAUAAGGGGUGCCACCAUCAGGUGGCCGCAGAGAAUAGGCCCAAGCGACUGUUUACCAAAAACAUAGGUUUCUGCUAAGUCGCAAGACGAUGUAUAGGAGCUGACGCCUGCCCGGUGCUGGAAGGUUAAGGGGAUCUGUUAGAGCAAUCGAAGCAGUGAACUUAAGCCCCAGUAAACGGCGGCCGUAACUAUAACGGUCCUAAGGUAGCGAAAUUCCUUGUCGGGUAAGUUCCGACCCGCACGAAAGGCGUAACGAUUUGGGCACUGUCUCAACAACAGACUCGGUGAAAUUGUAAUUCCGGUGAAGAUGCCGGAUACCUGCGACAGGACGGAAAGACCCCAUGGAGCUUUACUGUAGCUUGACAUUGGGUUUUGGUACUACAUGUACAGGAUAGGUGGGAGGCUUUUGAAACCAGGACGCCAGUUUUGGCGGAGCCAUCCUUGGGAUACCACCCUUGUAGUACUGGGACUCUAACCAUAGGCCAUGAAUCUGGUCUUGGGACACUGUCAGGUGGGCAGUUUGACUGGGGCGGUCGCCUCCCAAAAGGUAACGGAGGCGCUCAAAGGUUCUCUCAGUACGGUCGGAAAUCGUACGUAGAGUGUAAAGGCAAAAGAGAGCUUGAUUGCAAGACAUACAGGUCGAGCAAGGAUGAAAAUCGGACUUAGUGAUCCGGUGGUUCUGCGUGGAAGGGCCAUCGCUCAACGGAUAAAAGCUACCCUGGGGAUAACAGGCUUAUCUCCCCCAAGAGUCCACAUCGACGGGGAGGUUUGGCACCUCGAUGUCGGCUCAUCACAUCCUGGGGCUGUAGUAGGUCCCAAGGGUUGGGCUGUUCGCCCAUUAAAGUGGUACGCGAGCUGGGUUCAGAACGUCGUGAGACAGUUCGGUCCCUAUCCGUCGCAGGCGUAGGAAAUUUGAGAAGACCUGUCCUUAGUACGAGAGGACCGGGAUGGACGUACCUCUGGUGUACCAGUUGUUCUGCCAAGGGCAUGGCUGGGUAGCUAUGUACGGAAUGGAUAAGCGCUGAAAGCAUCUAAGCGCGAAGCCAACUUCAAGAUAAGAUUUCCCACCGUAAGGGUAAGACCCCAGAAAGACUAUCUGGUUGAUAGGUCGAAGGUGUAAGUGCAGCAAUGUAUUUAGCUUAUCGAUACUAAUAGGUCGAGGACUUGACCAA
RNAcentral lists this ribosomal RNA (2897 nucleotides) under Clostridioides difficile. RNAcentral describes it as "bacterial LSU rRNA". It matches the Rfam family "Bacterial large subunit ribosomal RNA". Lineage: Bacteria; Bacillati; Bacillota; Clostridia; Peptostreptococcales; Peptostreptococcaceae. The record is from RNAcentral.